GUACCAGAAAGCCCUACAGAUAGAUAAUACUUACCUUAUAUGGAUGCUGUGAGAACUAAAUGAGAUAAUGGAUGUAAAAUUUUUGGCACUGUGCCCAACACUUACUAAGUGCUCAAUAAAUAGUAACUAAGUAUUGUGACUCAGUCUGGCAGGUCUCUGGUAGUCUGUGACAUAACUGCAAGUCCUCAGCUCCUCCCUUUCUCACCACCCACCCCCAAACCUGCUAACCUUUCCUGAAUGGCCUCAGUGACCUGCCUCUCCCUCCAGGGCUCUGCAGGUUUGGCCGGCCCACCAGGGAACAGGGUUCUGGCCGGGUUUAGGACACCGUGGCUUUCAGUUUGGCGAGGGCCCCAGAUAUGCCAGGGCCCAGCUGGCAAGUCCUUCCUGCUCCAAGGUUCUGAAGGUCCCAGCGGCCGGCCCUGCCCUCCAGUCUCCUCCCUCGGACCCGAGGCAGAUGGAAAUCAGAAUGCAGUGGAUCUUCAGGGUCCAGCCGCAGCAGGCCCAGAAGCCCCCAUGAUAGCCCAGGCCCCUCUGACCUCACCCCUUCUCUCUGGGCAGGUCCCAGCAGCAGAGACAGGAAUCGCCGGACCCCGGGGCCUCCGGGAGCCACGUGUGCCAGCGCAGCGCCUGCCAGCUCCCAGGCUGACCUCACAAUGGCUCCUUUCACCAGGAGAGGAGCUGGCCCGGCCCGGAGCCUGCGGGGGGAUGUCCCAGGCCCCAGGGCGUGGGGUGGGAGGUUGGAAACUGGGGAAUGGGCUGCUGAGGCUGGGAGAGCUGAAGGAUCUCAGCGCCACAUCCACCACCCGAUGUCAAGGGACUGCUUCAGGCGUAGUCUUAUGACCCAAACCAGUCCAGGGAGUUCCAUUUCCAGAUCCUGUGUUUAAACAUUUGGAGAAAUGAAUGUUUCCUCCUACUGGGCUUGGAACUGGGAGAGUGUCAGCCUGGAGCUGCCCGAAUUUGGAAAGGGCCUGCUCCAGAGUGAAGCCAACACAGGGAAAAGCAGAGAGAUGGAGGACCAAAUCCUGAUGGCAUCAUUUGAAAUCCUAGAUCCAGCUGUACCUGAAGCAGAUAAACUAAAUUUUGCAGUUUCUUGAGUCAAUCAAUUUGCUUUUCAUUUAAGCCUCUCGAGAUUGUGUUUUCUGUCUCUUGAACCCAGGAGUUCUGACCACUACAGAGGUCCUCCCUCCUCUGGCCUCAAACCACCUCUGCGGUCCCACCUGCCUUGCUCUGCCUUGCCACUCCCCCAAACGCCUGUCCUCAGCCUGAAACGUCUGUCUCCCUUCGCUCUAAAACCCCACCCAUCCGUCCGGGAGCUCACGGCCCUUCACAUGGGACAAGAGGCCGCUUCGGAGUUGGACAGACUCGAGUGCAAGUCCUGGCUGUUCCGUGCGGCACUUGAGUCACGUGCAGCAGGUCACAGAACUUCCUUGAGCCUCAGUUUCCUUAAAAUGGCAAACGCACGGUGCUUACUAUGUGCUAGGUAUUGUUCUAAGUGCUUUACGAGUCCCGGCAGUCUAGUUCUUUCAUCUCCCCCGGGGGACGGAGGCCCUGCUGUUACCCUCAUUCCAGCAAGGGGGAAACUGAGGCCUGGAGAGGAGGCGCUGGGGUGGGACUCAGACGCCGGCUCCAGUGUCAGGGCUCUCAACACCCGACGGUCUUGCCCCUCGCAAAAUGGGGGUGAUACUAGGACCUUCUUCGUAAG
Equus caballus (horse) is the source of this 1702-nucleotide long non-coding RNA. The record is from Ensembl. Lineage: Eukaryota; Metazoa; Chordata; Mammalia; Perissodactyla; Equidae.